UCCGGAAUUAUUGGGCGUAAAGAGCUUGUAGGCGGUUUGUCGCGUCUGCUGUGAAAGGCCGGGGCUUAACCCCGUGUAUUGCAGUGGGUACGGGCAGACUAGAGUGCAGUAGGGGAGACUGGAACUCYUGGUGUAGCGGUGGAAUGCGCAGAUAUCAGGAAGAACACCGAUGGCGAAGGCAGGUCUCUGGGCUGUAACUGACGCUGAGAAGCGAAAGCGUGGGGAGCGAACAGGAUUAGAUACCCUGGUAGUCCAUGCCGUAAACGUUGGGCACUAGGUGUGGGGGACAUUCCACGUUUUCCGCGCCGUAGCUAACGCAUUAAGUGCCCCGCCUGGGGAGUACGGCCGCAAGGCUAAAACUCAAAGAAAUUGACAGGGGCCCGCACAAGCGGCGGAGCAUGCGGAUUAAUUCGAUGCAACGCGAAGAACCUUACCAAGGCUUGACAU
Molecule: ribosomal RNA, 447 nt
Filed under: uncultured bacterium
Lineage: Bacteria
Description: bacterial SSU rRNA
Rfam family: Bacterial small subunit ribosomal RNA
Source: RNAcentral